This 208-nucleotide ribosomal RNA is filed under the name uncultured bacterium. Its description in RNAcentral is "partial 16S ribosomal RNA". It matches the Rfam family "Bacterial small subunit ribosomal RNA", at positions 568 to 775 of the family's 1533-position model. The record is from RNAcentral.
UUCGUAGGUGGCAUGUCAAGUCUGGUGUUAAAGCCCGGGGCUUAACCCCGGUACAGCGCUGGAAACUGACAAGCUAGAGCAUAGCAGAGGCAAGGGGAAUUCCCAGUGUAGCGGUGAAAUGCGUAGAUAUUGGGAGGAACACCAGUGGCGUAGGCGCUUUGCUGGGCUAUUGCUGACGCUGAGGAACGAAAGCCAGGGGAGCGAAUGG